This is a long non-coding RNA of Ornithorhynchus anatinus (platypus), 1041 nucleotides long. RefSeq lists it as uncharacterized. The transcript is spliced from 2 exons. NCBI's taxonomy places the organism in Eukaryota, Metazoa, Chordata, Mammalia, Monotremata, Ornithorhynchidae. The record is from RefSeq and is a predicted model, not a curated record.
GGGGAAGAAUGAGGGGCUAGAAGCCCACUGUCCACUGACUUCAUGCUCGAAUCCUCGAGGCCAGCGAUCAGAUCCUCCGCGGUCUCCACGGACCCUCUGCCCGGCACCAGGCCGUGCCAGAUAUCGUGUUGCGACGACGAGAACCGGAGGCUCCACUUUCAACCCCCUGAGGCUCCUCCUCCGUCUGCAGUUGGAGGCGUCCUAAGCAAACUCACGAUCGAUCGGCUGCUCUCGGCCCCGAGGGCCCUUUCCCGUCAACGCCGACACCGAACAACAGAUUCAACACCGGAGAGGGUUGACAGUGAAUGAUGAAAGACUAUUCUGAUGAGAGAAGCUAUUUUUCUGUCCUCGGGUGCUGAUGGGGGAAAAAAAAAAAUAAGCAAAAAUCCCCACUGCCCGAUAUUUCAUUUUGUCGAUUAAUACGUUUCAGUGCGUGAAAUCUUCCUCGAGUCUUGGUUGGGGAUGUCUUUUAAAAAGAAACAGACAAAUAGUAGUGCUUGUAUUUAUUGAGCACCUGUUGGUGUGAAACAGUGCGCUAAACGCUUGGGAGAGUGUGGCUGAGGAAAGCAACGCUUUCCCUGCCUUUGAGAAGCUUCCACUCCAAAUUGACGCUCAAGUCGUCCACCUGAUUUUAAGCUCCCUAGUGCCGCCGCCUUGAGUAGAUGGAAGAAAGAGACAGAAAAAAAAUGCACCUCACUCCCUUAGUUAUCAUGUAAAGUCAAUUACCGCAGCAUAACUUCAAUCUUUCGGAAAAAUAAAAUAAAGGAAUUGCUGUAUAAUACCAGGGACGGAAUGCCAAGUCCGAAGAUCCGUCUUGCUUUUUAAAUGAGUCGAUACCGUUUCCCUGUGUUACCAAACUUCUGCCCUGCCCGCCUCAAUAAGUGUUUACUGUAUCCUCUCCAUAAACUCUUUUGUCAUUUUAUUUCUUUAGUGUUUGGCAAACCUUCCCCUCUUCUUUCUUGAUGUAAUUCUCCUCACUCUUGUAUAGAUUCAUUAGGAAGCCUUUCAUGGGUGAUUAAGGGUGUUGUUGUUGGGCAGUAA